GUCUAAAAUGACUCUCGGCAACGGAUAUCUCGGCUCUUGCAUCGAUGAAGAACGUAGCGAAAUGCGAUACUUGGUGUGAAUUGCAGAAUCCCGUGAACCAUCGAGUCUUUGAACGCAAGUUGCGCCCGAAGCCAUUAGGCCAAGGGCACGCCUGCCUGGGUGUCACUAA
Molecule: ribosomal RNA, 169 nt
Filed under: Adesmia pinifolia
Lineage: Eukaryota; Viridiplantae; Streptophyta; Magnoliopsida; Fabales; Fabaceae
Description: 5.8S ribosomal RNA
Rfam family: 5.8S ribosomal RNA
About the family: 5.8S ribosomal RNA (5.8S rRNA) is a component of the large subunit of the eukaryotic ribosome. It is transcribed by RNA polymerase I as part of the 45S precursor that also contains 18S and 28S rRNA.
Source: RNAcentral